CAGGGGACUGGCUUCUCCAGGUGCUUCCUCACAGUCAGGCAAAGGUGGCUGCGUGGGGCACUCCAGGAGCUCCGUCUGCGUUCCAGUCCAGGUCACGCCCGCCCUUAUGCCCAAAUCUCAUUUUUGAGUGUCCAUUUCCUUGGACGUUUCCUGGCACCAACUUCUCUAUUAGUCAAGAUCCUUUCAGGGAAGAAGAACCCCACCACUUUAUAAAACAAGAAUAUAAUGUCAGAAAGUGCCAACAGGGCAUCAGCCAACCUAAGAGCAAAGAGGAACACGCAGUGCCCCAGGCCUGAGGAGAGGACAGGAGCCAGUGGGGGUCAUCGAACCUCCACGCCGGGAGGGAACUUGUAGGACUGGUACCCCAGCUCCGAGCGGGGUGCGGGCUGGCUGGUGCACGUGUCUCCGAGGAAGCAUGAGGAAACUGGCCUGGGUGCUGAGCUGCGUAAACCAGAACCACCCCACGGCAGGGUGGCCAGGGGAAGCUUCGACAUGUGACAGCAUCAGGGAGCAGCAAGGAAGGAGCGAGUCCUUUCUUCUUGGGCCUGUGAGAUUCCUCAGACAGGAAGGACGAGCGUGGGCCGGCUCAGACAGCCCAGCUGUGAAGACAGGGUCGAGGUUGGGAGGAAGUGACUGUCAGCAGGUAUUCUUUAAGCCCAUUUCAAAUGCCACC
Molecule: long non-coding RNA, 673 nt
Filed under: Marmota monax (woodchuck)
Lineage: Eukaryota; Metazoa; Chordata; Mammalia; Rodentia; Sciuridae
Source: RNAcentral